Cercocebus atys (sooty mangabey) is the source of this 525-nucleotide long non-coding RNA. RefSeq lists it as uncharacterized. The transcript has 3 exons. The record is from RefSeq and is a predicted model, not a curated record. Lineage: Eukaryota; Metazoa; Chordata; Mammalia; Primates; Cercopithecidae.
GCAGUGCUGCCACUUCAUGUGGGACCCACUGCUCUGGCUGGCAGGUCAAUGGUCUAUACAUAGAUUCCCUUGUGGCAGAUGAGCCUACCCAUAUCAAGGGAACCCAGUGGAGACCUUUACUGGGACCCUAAGUUGGAGACUGGCCAGUGCCAUUUUGACUCCUGCAGACAGCUUAUCUUCACAGAUGCCGGAAAGGACAGAACUCUUAAGUCAUCUCUCGGCUCACCUGAGACAAAUGCAUAUCUGAUUGUUUCCUCUGAUGUAAAAAUGCAGAUUCACUGAGCUAGAGGAAGGCGGGUGAAUAUUCUUACAAAGAAUAACACGGUAGCAGAAUCUGUUGCUGGACUUGUUUUCAUCUAUAAGAGCUGGGGAGCUAAAGGAUAAUAGAGGACAUUAUUUAGAGCCAACAGCAUGGAGAAGAAGAACAAUAAUAUCUUCACCUGAAUUUUUGUCUGGUAUCCUGGCCAAACUAUAUGGGUUGAAUAAAUUCAAAGCUUGAUCCUGAGCUGUUAGAGAUUAUUUCAU